RNAcentral lists this ribosomal RNA (319 nucleotides) under uncultured bacterium. RNAcentral describes it as "partial 16S ribosomal RNA". It matches the Rfam family "Bacterial small subunit ribosomal RNA", at positions 355 to 667 of the family's 1533-position model. The record is from RNAcentral.
UAGGGAAUCUUCCACAAUGGACGCAAGUCUGAUGGAGCAACGCCGCGUGAGUGAAGAAGGUUUUCGGAUCGUAAAGCUCUGUUGUUGGUGAAGAAGGAUAAAGGUAGUAACUGGCCUUUAUUUGACGGUAAUCAACCAGAAAGUCACGGCUAACUACGUGCCAGCAGCCGCGGUAAUACGUAGGUGGCAAGCGUUGUCCCGGAUUUAUUGGGCGUAAAGCGAGCGCAGGCGGAAGAAUAAGUCUGUGUGAAAGCCCUCGGCUUAACCGAGGAACUGCAUCGGAACUGUUUUUCUUGAGUGCAGAAGAGGAGAGUGGAAC